This 102-nucleotide unclassified non-coding RNA is filed under the name uncultured fungus. Its description in RNAcentral is "sequence contains ITS1, 5.8S rRNA gene". Lineage: Eukaryota; Fungi. The record is from RNAcentral.
UUUCUCAUUGGUUUUUUCUUGUCAAACUACAAACAUACUUUUCCACACAAAAUAAAAAAACACCACUCAGUGAUGAUCCUUCCGCAGGUUCACCUACGGAAA